CUUCCUGAUUUUUUUCUUAAUUGUAUAGUUUUCUAUCAUGCUACAUGUCCUAUAUCCAUAGUCCACCAUUGCUCUCUCUCCUUCUACUAUUUCGCCAGGUUGCUUAUGAUUGUGAGUUUGCAGUAUGGUGUGGAGAAAAUUGCUGGUUAUAUGAAUUAAAUUGUUACAGUUUAAUUAAUAAUUAAUUAUGUUUUCAAAUAUUAUCUUAGAUGGGUUUAGGGUUGGUACAAAAAUGUCGAAGAAGGAUACUAGAUCAAAAUACAGAAUCUUCUUGAUGGAAGAACUUAUUGAAGUUCUUCCAGCACCACAGCUACCAACUGGAGAUUAAGUUCUGCAACUUUAUAACUGGAACCUAACAAAAACAAGGAAAGAGAUGGUUACAAAUAGUUUUGACAGUCUCAAGAAGAGUUCUGUUGUUUCGGUGUCUAUUGUUAACUAAGAGAUUAGAAACUUGUUGCAAAGGUAAUACAUGAUGUCAGACAGAAGAAAGAACUCAUUGUGUGACUGGUGUUAUAAAGAACCUCUGGCAAAGGAGUUCUAUUCCUCGUUCUUUUCUAUGUCUAUAUUUUUAUGUCUAAUUGCCAUAGUCCGAAAUACAUUUAUUAAAUUUUUAACUACAAAAAUAUACUAUUGUUAAUACCAGGGCAUAAUUACAAAGAAAGAACGAUAAAGCUGACAACCAAAAAAACUAGAAGCUUUCUAACAGAAGUGAGAAAAAAGGAAUAUUUUAAGAAAGAAAUGAAGGAGUUGUUUGAUAUUUUUGUCAAAAAUGCUAUUGAGGUUAUUUUGUUUAACAAAAAAAACAAAAAACAAAAACACUAAGGAUGAGAGGCUUACAGAAGCUGCAUUUUAUGAAGAUUAAAAGGGAGAGCGCAUAGCUGUAAUAUAGGUGCCAAAGACAGAGAGUACACAAAAGCAGUGAAAAGGCACCAAAAAAAGUAGGAAUCUUCAAAAAGCAGAAAUGUAAUUUCUGAAUAUGCUGAAAUUCCUGUCGUGAACUCUGGAACAAUAAACAACAAUAAUGAUUUAAAGGGUACAGAUGAUGGGAAAGAUACUGAUUAUCAAGUUGGUGUUAGAUCAAAAUCACAUAAGCGAAAGCUAGAUUUCAUUCGCGUCAUGCUUCCAAGAAAAUUUUUGAAAGAAACCACUGUGACUGCAAAAAUGGCACUUGUCACUAAUUCAGCGGUAGCAAUAAUAUCAGAUUUUGAUGUUUCAUUCUCUUCUGCUAGAUACCAAACCAAUGUAGCACAGGUUUAAACACAGGAAACCAUCACGCCCAUUGGUUUGAAGAAUCUCAAUAAGUUUAACUGGAGUGCAAACUAGGGAACAUUUCUUGAGAAAAAGACACUUGAAGUUAAGAAAUAUCUUGAAGCUAUACUGUACACAAAGGAGUUUCUUCGUGAUGAUUACAAACAUUUAGCCGAGCUUAUAUUGGUCUGGUUGUGAAGUAACAAGAUAAUGAAUUUCAGAUUUCACUAACCUAUUGCAGUACACAAUGCAAGAUUUUCUGCUAAACUCUUAUAUUAUAUGAGCAUAGAACUUUGACAAUGUUUUUACCAAUAUAAUUA
Hydra vulgaris (swiftwater hydra) is the source of this 1568-nucleotide non-coding RNA. The record is from RefSeq and is a predicted model, not a curated record. NCBI's taxonomy places the organism in Eukaryota, Metazoa, Cnidaria, Hydrozoa, Anthoathecata, Hydridae.